Molecule: transfer RNA, 87 nt
Filed under: Gammaproteobacteria bacterium
Lineage: Bacteria; Pseudomonadati; Pseudomonadota; Gammaproteobacteria
Description: tRNA-Leu
Rfam family: tRNA
About the family: Transfer RNA (tRNA) molecules are approximately 80 nucleotides in length. Their secondary structure includes four short double-helical elements and three loops (D, anti-codon, and T loops).
Source: RNAcentral
GCCGGGGUGGCGGAACUGGUAGACGCGCCGGAUUCAAAAUCCGGUUCCGGCAACGGAGUGUGGGUUCGAUUCCCACCCUCGGCACCA